CGGGCUGUGUCUCGUGAAGGAUUCCCAGCCCAGGAAACAGGCUGCGCGGUCACAGCCCUCAGAGCUGCUGCCGCAGGAAAGGGUUUGGAAGCCGGGUCGCGGGUCUGGCGUGGUGUCCCGACCCCGCCCAACCUGGCCAGCUCCCUUCCGAAGUGCGCAAACCGGGCGUGCGGUCCCGCGGUCUCCGAACAUCAGGAAGUCGCCCAGCCUGGGCUGCCUGGGCUUGAACUUGUGGUCCUCCUGCCUCAGCUGCCCAGAGCCCUGGGAUCAUAGGGGAAGAGCCGGAAGUCGCACGGUGCCAGAUCCGGUGACUAAGGUGGAUGAGGACACAGCGCCAUGUUUUAUGAGCUGCUUUUCCAUUGGAUGGCCUGGACUGCAGUCACUGUGUGUUUUAAUCUCAUCUGGUAAAGACCCUUAAGAAAGAGGACUCCAGAGCUGCUGCAGGAAGUAGCAAGGGCGAUGGGAUGAGUGUGUGUGAAGCAAGUGGGAGGAUUUUGUGGAGAUUCAUGUCAAUUUAUCUUUUACUCUAGUAAAUUUUUGAAAAAAUUUGUAUCUUCAACAUGCAUUUUGAUCACAUCUUGUAUUAUCCACGAGCUAGAAGCCUGCAAAUUCCAUUCCUUAGGUACCCUGGGCACUGGUGUGUGCACUCCUGCCAAUAGGGGGCGCUGGUGGGAGACUGACCAGAGGGAAAGGGAGCAGAGGUCUGCUCUUGCCACACAAGGUGUCGCUGCUGUGGUGACAGCAGGAGUAGGUGG
This 755-nucleotide long non-coding RNA is filed under the name Heterocephalus glaber (naked mole-rat). RNAcentral's name for it is "lncRNA (ENSHGLG00000040672.1)". The record is from RNAcentral. Lineage: Eukaryota; Metazoa; Chordata; Mammalia; Rodentia; Bathyergidae.